GACAAUGAUGGAACCGUGAUGACUUUGAGA
Molecule: non-coding RNA, 30 nt
Filed under: Mus musculus (house mouse)
Lineage: Eukaryota; Metazoa; Chordata; Mammalia; Rodentia; Muridae
Source: RNAcentral